This 462-nucleotide ribosomal RNA is filed under the name uncultured bacterium. Its description in RNAcentral is "partial 16S ribosomal RNA". It matches the Rfam family "Bacterial small subunit ribosomal RNA", at positions 28 to 507 of the family's 1533-position model. The record is from RNAcentral.
GACGAACGCUGGCGGCGUGCUUAACACAUGCAAGUCGAGCGGAAAGGCCCUUCGGGGUACUCGAGCGGCGAACGGGUGAGUAACACGUGAGUAACCUGCCCCAGACUUUGGGAUAACCCUCGGAAACGGUGGCUAAUACCGGAUACGACACAGCUUCGCAUGGGGUCUGUGUGGAAAGUUUUUCGGUUUGGGAUGGGCUCGCGGCCUAUCAGCUUGUUGGUGGGGUGAUGGCCUACCAAGGCGACGACGGGUAGCCGGCCUGAGAGGGCGACCGGCCACACUGGGACUGAGACACGGCCCAGACUCCUACGGGAGGCAGCAGUGGGGAAUAUUGCACAAUGGGCGGAAGCCUGAUGCAGCGACGCCGCGUGAGGGAUGACGGCCUUCGGGUUGUAAACCUCUUUCAGCAGGGACGAAGCGUAAGUGACGGUACCUGCAGAAGAAGCGCCGGCCAACUACGUG